This 75-nucleotide transfer RNA is filed under the name uncultured alpha proteobacterium EB000_46D07. RNAcentral's name for it is "tRNA-Ile". It matches the Rfam family "tRNA". From Rfam's summary of the family: Transfer RNA (tRNA) molecules are approximately 80 nucleotides in length. The record is from RNAcentral. Lineage: Bacteria; Pseudomonadati; Pseudomonadota; Alphaproteobacteria.
AGGCGCGUAGCUCAGUUGGUUAGAGCGCACGACUGAUAAUCGUGAGGUCGGCAGUUCAAAUCNUGCCCGUGCCUA